GACGAACGCUGGCGGCGUGCUUAACACAUGCAAGUCGAACGGAAAGGCCCUGCUUUUGUGGGGUGCUCGAGUGGCGAACGGGUGAGUAACACGUGAGUAACCUGCCCUUGACUUUGGGAUAACUUCAGGAAACUGGGGCUAAUACCGGAUAGGAGCUCCUGCUGCAUGGUGGGGGUUGGAAAGUUUCGGCGGUUGGGGAUGGACUCGCGGCUUAUCAGCUUGUUGGUGGGGUAGUGGCUUACCAAGGCUUUGACGGGUAGCCGGCCUGAGAGGGUGACCGGACACAUUGGGACAGGAAUGCAGCCCAGACUCCUACGGGAGGCAGCAGUGGGGAAUAUUGCACGAUGGGCGGAAGCCUGAUGCAGCAACGCCGCGUGCAGGAUGACGGCCUUCGGGUUGUGAACCACUUUCGCCUGUAACAAAGCGUGAGUGAAGGUAAUGUGUAAAGAAGCACCGGCUAACUACAUG
This 468-nucleotide ribosomal RNA is filed under the name uncultured bacterium. RNAcentral's name for it is "partial 16S ribosomal RNA". It matches the Rfam family "Bacterial small subunit ribosomal RNA", at positions 28 to 507 of the family's 1533-position model. The record is from RNAcentral.